This 505-nucleotide ribosomal RNA is filed under the name uncultured bacterium. RNAcentral describes it as "partial 16S ribosomal RNA". It matches the Rfam family "Bacterial small subunit ribosomal RNA", at positions 28 to 507 of the family's 1533-position model. The record is from RNAcentral.
GACGAACGCUGGCGGCGUGCCUAAUACAUGCAAGUAGAACGCACAGUUUAUACCGUAGCUUGCUACACCAUAGACUGUGAGUUGCGAACGGGUGAGUAACGCGUAGGUAACCUGCCUGGUAGCGGGGGAUAACUAUUGGAAACGAUAGCUAAUACCGCAUAAUAUUAAUUAUUGCAUGAUAAUUAAUUGAAAGGUGCAAUUGCACCACUACCAGAUGGACCUGCGUUGUAUUAGCUAGUAGGUGAGGUAACGGCUCACCUAGGCGACGAUACAUAGCCGACCUGAGAGGGUGAUCGGCCACACUGGGACGGAGACACGGCCCAGACUCCUACGGGAGGCAGCAGUAGGGAAUCUUCGGCAAUGGACGAAAGUCUGACCGAGCAACGCCGCGUGAGUGAAGAAGGUUUUCGGAUCGUAAAGCUCUGUUGUAAGAGAAGAACGGGUGUGAGAGUGGAAAGUUCACACUGUGACGGUAUCUUACCAGAAAGGGACGGCUAACUACGUG